This 140-nucleotide ribosomal RNA is filed under the name uncultured eukaryote. RNAcentral describes it as "partial 18S ribosomal RNA". It matches the Rfam family "Eukaryotic small subunit ribosomal RNA", at positions 1299 to 1458 of the family's 1831-position model. The record is from RNAcentral.
UGGUGGAGUGAUUUGUCUGGUUAAUUCCGUUAACGAACGAGACCUCAGCCUGCUAAAUAGUUCCGCAAAUUCUGAAUUUGCGUUGUGACUUCUUAGAGGGACUAUUGGCGUUUAGCCAAUGGAAGUUUGAGGCAAUAACA